This 1415-nucleotide long non-coding RNA is filed under the name Sus scrofa (pig). Its description in RNAcentral is "lncRNA (ENSSSCG00070027338.1)". The record is from RNAcentral. Lineage: Eukaryota; Metazoa; Chordata; Mammalia; Artiodactyla; Suidae.
UAGAUGUGGCCCCCACUGGCUGGAUGCCCGGCUCUGCCGUCUCCCACACCCUCUGGCAUCGCGGUGCCCUGAGGGCGGCUAGGCUUUGGACUCUCCUUUAACUCCUGUCAUCCACCCUGCUUCCUGCCUCAUGACUCUGCCGGCUCUGGACCCACCUGGCGGCCCACACCCAGGAUCAGCAGAUAACCUUCGAGUAAAUGCGGUCCUGAGAGCCCAGAGAAAAAGAAGAGUUGCCAUAAACAAAUCUUUCAAAACCUGGGAGCCGUGCACAAAGACCAUGGACCCCCUGGGCUGCGAGCCCCUCCCCGCCCCGCUCCAUCCUCCACACCCACCGGACGCCUGGCUGUGGCGUGGCGGGCUCUGUGUCCACCUGCGGCCCCUCUGCGGCCCCACCUGGCAGGGGCCCAGGGGUUAGGAUGCAGGUCCCUCUGCGGCGUUGCUGUCGGACUGCAGGCUGGCUUGGAGUGACCUCCCUCUGGCACCCUUCAGGGAAGACUUGACUGCUGUGCAAACCGCCGCCCGGGCCCCUCUGCCUGAGCCAGCCCGUGCAGGUGCCACACCUCCGCCUCCCGCCACCAUCCGUCCAGACCUGGGCCUGCCCCUCCCCCUCCUCCCUCCCCCCUCCUCCUCCCCUCCCCCCCUUCUCCCCCCUCCACCCUUCCCCGCUCCUCUUCAUGCCCAGCCCUCCUCUGUCUGGUCCACCCUCCCUCUGUCCACCGGCCACACUGGCCCCCGGGGGGAUGUGAGCUCUGGGGCCGGGGGAGGGGGGCGCAGGGCGUCUGGCUGCUGCCAUCUUCUUCCUCCUGGAGACUUCAUCCUGCGGAACCCACCCAUCGCUCCGUCCCGCUAAGUGAGCCUGUAGCGACUGUGGGUUGUUCAUGCCACCGGGACAGCCAGUGCCAAAUGUUCUCGGCCCCACGCGGGACCUCCCGAGGGAGAGGCCCUCCCGUGGGGUCAGACUGAGCAAAUGACGUAGAAUUUGGGAGAAAAUAAGCUCUCCCAGUCCUGUUUCCCCCUCAUCUAACUGGAGUUUUGAUUUCCUGUCAGGUUAAACAUCGUGGUUUUUGCACGUGGUGAAGGAAUUCACCCGUGUAAGUUCACGCAUACUUGGAUGAACUGGUCCCGCCCGCUUGCCCUUGGGCGUUUUCUGGAUUGCUCCUUUCCCGGUUUAGAAGGACCCUUCUCCCUCUGGUUAACGCGAACCCCAUCGAAGCCUCAGCUCGCACUUUCUCUUAAGCAGAAAGGGGAGUUCCCAGCCAGCCGUGCUGCUUUUAUUUAUAGCACUUGAUUUCCUGAGAGGAGUCAGGGAACGUCCGUCCUCCCCUGGCCCCUCGGGCUCCUCCUCUGCCCUCGGUCCCCCAGCUGCGGGCGGGCGGGGGCGGCGUGGGGGCUGGACGGGGACCCCCGUGCCAGGU